This 624-nucleotide ribosomal RNA is filed under the name uncultured bacterium. RNAcentral describes it as "bacterial SSU rRNA". It matches the Rfam family "Bacterial small subunit ribosomal RNA", at positions 57 to 686 of the family's 1533-position model. The record is from RNAcentral.
GCCUGUCGAACGAAUCCCAGCGUGGCUUGCCCGCUGGGUGAAGUGGCGAAAGGGGCAGUAUGGCAUGGGUAACCUGCCCCGGGGACGGAGAUAGCCUUCCUAACGGGAGGGUAAUACCCGGCGACUUGGCCAGGGGGCAUCCAUUGACCACCAAAGGAGUUUCGCCCCUGGAGGGGCCCAUGUGCUAUUAGCUGGUUGGCGGGGUGACGGCCCACCAAGGUGAAGAUGGCUAGCGGGUGUGAGAGCACGACCCGCGCCACUGGCACUGAUACACUGGCCAGACUCCUACGGGAGGCUGCAGUCGAGGAUCUUCGGCAAUGGGCGCAAGCCUGACCGAGCGACGCCGCGUGCGCGAUGAAGGCCUUCGGGUUGUAAAGCGCUGUCGUGGGGGAGGAAGCCCGCAAGGGUUGACCUAUCCCAGGAGGAAGCACGGACUACGUUCGUGCCAGCAGCCGCGGUAAGACGAACCGUGCGAACAUUGUUCGGAAUCACUGGGCUUAAAGGGCGCGUAGGCGGCCCCGCCAGUCCGCGGUGAAAGCCCCCGGCCCAACCGGGGAAGGGACGUGGAUACUGCGGGGCUCGGGGGAGGUAGGGGCGGGCGGAACUUCCGGUGGAGCGGUGAAA